AGCAGUGUGGCUUAGUGGAUAAAGCAUGGGCCUGGGAGUCAGAAGGACCUGGCUUCUAAUUCCAGCUCUGCCA
This is a non-coding RNA of Ornithorhynchus anatinus (platypus), 73 nucleotides long. Lineage: Eukaryota; Metazoa; Chordata; Mammalia; Monotremata; Ornithorhynchidae. The record is from Rfam.